RNAcentral lists this ribosomal RNA (253 nucleotides) under uncultured bacterium. RNAcentral's name for it is "partial 16S ribosomal RNA". It matches the Rfam family "Bacterial small subunit ribosomal RNA", at positions 524 to 776 of the family's 1533-position model. The record is from RNAcentral.
UACGUAGGGGGCGAGCGUUGUCCGAAUUCACUGGGCGUAAAGCGCGCGUAGGCGGACUUUUAAGUCAGGGGUGAAAUGCCGAGGCUCAACCUCGGAACUGCCUUUGAAACUGGGAGUCUUGAGGUAUGGAGAGGGAAGUGGAAUUCCAGGUGUAGCGGUGAAAUGCGUAGAUAUCUGGAGGAACACCGGUGGCGAAGGCGGCUUCCUGGCCAUAUCCUGACGCUGAGGUGCGAAAGCUAGGGGAGCGAACGGG